Molecule: ribosomal RNA, 473 nt
Filed under: Escherichia coli
Lineage: Bacteria; Pseudomonadati; Pseudomonadota; Gammaproteobacteria; Enterobacterales; Enterobacteriaceae
Description: bacterial SSU rRNA
Rfam family: Bacterial small subunit ribosomal RNA
Source: RNAcentral
AAAUUGAAGAGUUUGAUCAUGGCUCAGAUUGAACGCUGGCGGCAGGCCUAACACAUGCAAGUCGAACGGUAACAGGAAGCAGCUUGCUGUUUCGCUGACGAGUGGCGGACGGGUGAGUAAUGUCUGGGAAACUGCCUGAUGGAGGGGGAUAACUACUGGAAACGGUAGCUAAUACCGCAUAACGUCGCAAGACCAAAGAGGGGGACCUUCGGGCCUCUUGCCAUCGGAUGUGCCCAGAUGGGAUUAGCUUGUUGGUGGGGUAACGGCUCACCAAGGCGACGAUCCCUAGCUGGUCUGAGAGGAUGAGCAGCCACACUGGAACUGAGACACGGUCCAGACUCCUACGGGAGGCAGCAGUGGGGAAUAUUGCACAAUGGGCGCAAGCCUGAUGCAGCCAUGCCGCGUGUAUGAAGAAGGCCUUCGGGUUGUAAAGUACUUUCAGCGGGGAGGAAGGGAGUAAAGUUAAUACCUUU